This 462-nucleotide ribosomal RNA is filed under the name uncultured Parvibaculum sp. Its description in RNAcentral is "bacterial SSU rRNA". It matches the Rfam family "Bacterial small subunit ribosomal RNA", at positions 923 to 1382 of the family's 1533-position model. Lineage: Bacteria; Pseudomonadati; Pseudomonadota; Alphaproteobacteria; Hyphomicrobiales; Parvibaculaceae. The record is from RNAcentral.
GCACAAGCGGUGGAUGAUGUGGAUUAAUUCGAAGCAACGCGCAGAACCUUACCAACCUUGACAUCGAGAUCGCGGUUUCCAGAGAUGGAUUCCUUCAGUUCGGCUGGAUCUUAGACAGGUGUUGCAUGGCUGUCGUCAGCUCGUGUCGUGAGAUGUUGGGUUAAGUCCCGCAACGAGCGCAACCCUCGCCUUUAGUUGCCAUCAUUAAGUUGGGCACUCUAGAGGGACUGCCGGUGAUAAGCCGGAGGAAGGUGGGGAUGACGUCAAGUCCUCAUGGCCCUUAUGGGUUGGGCUACACACGUGCUACAAUGGCGGCGACAAUGGGCAGCGAAGGGGCGACCCGGUGCAAAUCCCAAAAAGCCGUCUCAGUUCGGAUUGCACUCUGCAACUCGAGUGCAUGAAGGUGGAAUCGCUAGUAAUCGCGUAACAGCAUGACCGCGGUCGAAUACGUUCCCGGGCCUU